Molecule: long non-coding RNA, 1180 nt
Filed under: Brassica rapa (field mustard)
Lineage: Eukaryota; Viridiplantae; Streptophyta; Magnoliopsida; Brassicales; Brassicaceae
Description: long non-coding RNA (BRAP_LNC001282)
Source: RNAcentral
AAACAUACUAAUUAAAGUGGUUUUGAAAGGAAAUUAAAUUAGGCUUUGAUAUCAGCCAGUUAUAUUACACGGUGAAGCCCAAAAAAAUUGUGAAUUAAGUUGAGCUCUCAUGAUCCACAAAAUAAUCACAUAUCCUCAUCCAGCCCCUUUUGAAAUAUUGAUAAUCUAAUGUGACCGUUCAGGAAGAGGAAAAAAAAACAUAAAUAAAGGUAAUUGAAAAAAAAAACACAAAUCUUUUGGCGAUUUUAGUUUUGAAAAAUCUAUAGGAUGGAUGGAACAUAUAUUUAUAAGAGAUCUGAUAUUCAAUGGAAGUAGGUAAAAUCUUUCCAAAAUCAUGUUGAUACCAACUUGAAUAAAAGAUGCGUAUGUGGGAGAAUAAAUAUAUAUAAAUGUUAAUAUAUGUUCCAUCUAUAGGAUGGAUGGAACAUAUAUUUAUACGUAUGUAGAUUCGUAUAAGUAUAUAGUCAAAGAAACGCUGAUUUUCAUGUUUACAUUUGUAAGUUUUGCGAGGAGGCUAUGUUGCGGUGAGAAAGUUUGUGUUGAGAACGACGUACGGUAGCUUGAUGUGUAGAUUGCACCGCCGAGAAAGAAAAAAAUGUUUACAACACAAGGAAGUAGCAACGUGAUUUCAUGGUAGCAUGCUUAAACGCUAAUUAGUUUACUUUUCACUUUCUGAUUCCUUUCUUUUUUUUUUUUUUGGUCAAAAUUCCUUUCAUUUUUUUUUUUUUAUUACUUAGGUCUUUUAUCAAAUUUUGUAUGUGUUUUCUGGUUCUUCUAUCAAAUUUUCUAUGUUAAUAAAUGGUCUCUGCGUCUUUUGUUCAAACCUUUUUCGGACAGUUAGAAACCAUCUGCGCCUGUAUAUAUAAUAACUGGUUAACAGACUAGAUCUCGUAUCUCAACGGUUAGUAUGUCGACAACGAAAAAGUGUCGAUCGAUGGUCCUAUUAGAACGUCGACCGAUACACCUUUGCCAACGUCGAUCGAUAGUCAGUUGAGGACAUCGAUCGACGGGUUCUAGCCAGGCCUAUGCGCGAGUAUGAUAUGCCCUACUAAGAUACUAAAUUGGCAGUUAGCCCUUUCUAGCAGUCCUAAUAUGAUAGAUAGAUGUCAGGAUGAGAUAACAAGGGUGCUUGAAUAUGCAAUCCUAUGAUCAAGUUCUAGUUAGCAAGGCUAAAACAAGC